Molecule: long non-coding RNA, 1025 nt
Organism: Pseudophryne corroboree (corroboree frog)
Lineage: Eukaryota; Metazoa; Chordata; Amphibia; Anura; Myobatrachidae
Exons: 3
Source: RefSeq, a predicted model, not a curated record
UCCUGUGAUGCUAAUUAAACAUCAAUUUGGAUUUAAGUUUGAAUUAUUUGGUUACUCCUGCCUGAUAACACUUUUGCCUGUAUCAGAAACCACUAAUAAAGUAAUUUUAUUAAAUAAAGGCUCCUUCAUUUUAAUUUUAAGUAUAAAAUAAAUACUUUGAUUAAACAUAUCAAUUAAGUAAUCAAAAAAAAAGGAUAGGAAGUGAUGUAAUGGGUUGGGGAGCUUAAAUAGGGAGAUUGUGAGCUUAGCUAUCAUUUCACUAUUGGAUCCCUAUGCAUGCAGACCUAUAGGACUAUUGCUGGAAAACAAAAGGGGAUUGAUCACAUCCAGUCCAUAGGUGGAUUCUUGUGUUAUACAGACAUAUAGAAAAACUGCGGAACACCCCUGAAGAAGUCGCUAUAAGACGAAACGCUUGGAUGAAAGCUCUUUUAUUUAUUAUUUUUUUACAUAAACAACGUUGAAACAAACAAUUGUAUUUUCAAUGUAAAAGAAAUGUUUAUUACCAAUCCUUUUUAAUGCAAAUGUGAAUUUGAACUAUAUUGUUCUAACAAUAAAAAGAUGUAUGUGUUUUAAAUAUGGGUGUUUAUAUGUGUAAGGUCAUCCUCUCUUUAUAAACUAUCCGGUAAAAAUGAUCUAAUCAUAUCAGUUUAUAAAAUAAGUGUGCUCCACAGAGAUAUCUUUUUUUAUCUCUAAUGUAUAUUGAUCUUUGUCGACCAGGGAUCCGCUCUGUGAUGAAGCCUGCCUUUUUUGAAAUAUAGUAGUAUUGAUUUUUAUUAAUUUAGAAUCUACUAACUGAUAUAAAGUAAACAAAACUUCAGUAGUUAUAUACUAAGAGCGCUUUAAGGAAUUACACUAUUUUAUAUAUAUAUAUAUGAAAAACGAAAGUGGUCAAUGCGCUACUUUCCCUCUGUCUACAGUAAAUAUAUAAUAAGUCUUUCUUGUAGUCUGUUAACUUUAGCACACGGACUCCACAGGUGGUCCUAUGGAUGGCAGCUCAGUCCUUCGAAGGGCCACUAGGUUUUAGU